RNAcentral lists this ribosomal RNA (341 nucleotides) under uncultured bacterium. RNAcentral describes it as "bacterial SSU rRNA". It matches the Rfam family "Bacterial small subunit ribosomal RNA", at positions 914 to 1247 of the family's 1533-position model. The record is from RNAcentral.
CGGGGGCUCACACAAGCGGUGGAGCAUGUGGAUCAAUUCGAAGCAACGCGAAGAACCUCACCUGGGUUUGACAUGCACGGAUGCUCUUCCUGAAAGGGGAGUAGGCUGCCUUCGGGUGAAACGUGCACAGGUGCUGCAUGGCUGUCGUCAGCUCGUGCUGUGAAGUGUCGGGUUAAGUCCCAUAACGAGCGAAACCCCUGUCGCUAGUUGCCAGCGGGUCAUGCCGGGUACUCUAGCGAGACUGCCGGUGUCAAACCGGAGGAAGGUGGGGACGACGUCAAGUCAUCAUGGCCUUUAUGUCCAGGGUGUCACACGUGCUACAAUGGGGCGGUACAGAGCGA